Helianthus annuus (common sunflower) is the source of this 395-nucleotide long non-coding RNA. RefSeq lists it as uncharacterized. The record is from RefSeq and is a predicted model, not a curated record. The transcript is spliced from 3 exons. Lineage: Eukaryota; Viridiplantae; Streptophyta; Magnoliopsida; Asterales; Asteraceae.
CCAAGAAGUUACUCUUUUUAUCGUGACAUAAUUAUGGGGCUCUCACUCAGGUUAUUGGAUUUUAUUAUUUCUAACUAUUGGAUAUUGGCCGCUGUCACUCUACAGGUAGAUCUGCUCUUAAAAGACAAAAGGGGAGCCAAAAUCCACUCAACCGGAGUGACACAACACACAAAAUGUUAAGUUGGGAGUGAUGUGAGUCAAAGUGAUAGUUAAAAGUGCCAACGGCCAAUAUCCAAAUAGUUAGGAGUGAUAAAAUCCAAUAUCCCUUUAUUAUAAAUGAAUGAAUCAAAUGAAGAAACAAUGUCAAAUCGCAUCUAUUUAUCUCAUAGGUGAGAUCAAAUUCCCCAACUAUUGAAACUUUGUUUUGCCCGAACUUUUUAUACCAAAUUUUACUA